AUGUGCUUCCUGACAAGUAUGCAGCACACAGAGCAAAUACACCUUUCCCACGAAAGCAUUUCUGGGAAAAUACUGGUGAUGGACCUCAGGUCUCCAGUACUCAGCAAAGGUGAGUCCAAGAUCAUCUGUGCUGUCAGCUUAGUUUGCUAUUUCACUCUUUCUCUUCCACCUAUCUGUGCAAUGACAGUUUUCAGAAAUGAGAAAGCUUUGACAAGUAAACUGCUGUUAGUAAGGGCAAUGAAAUAAUCUUGUGGUGUUAUGAUAAAGUAACACCCUAAAUUUAAAUAUAACCAUACUGUGUAUUUGUUCUGCAUUAAGCCAACUGGAAAAUAUGUUAUUUUUAUACUUAUAUUUUAUACAAUAUAUUAUUGAACUUUUUGACACUUCAAUUCUGUUUCCAACUGUAGUCAUAUUCCCAAUUUUUUACCUCUUCACCAGUAAUUGUUAAAAGUCAUUAUCCACUUUAAAAUGUGGUAUCCAACCUUUUUGAGUACAUGAGUUGCAUGACAAAUAUCAUUAAAUGUCCCCUGAAACAUACUGUGGGUCUGUCAAAAUCAAACACAGGGGGAGUACUGCAGUUGCAGUUCCAUUCAUGAGAUGCUACAAUAAAAUAAAUAAAGCCUAAUUGGGAGAUAAGUAU
Molecule: long non-coding RNA, 640 nt
Filed under: Cyanistes caeruleus (blue tit)
Lineage: Eukaryota; Metazoa; Chordata; Aves; Passeriformes; Paridae
Description: lncRNA (ENSCCEG00000022748.1)
Source: RNAcentral